Molecule: ribosomal RNA, 440 nt
Filed under: uncultured bacterium
Lineage: Bacteria
Description: partial 16S ribosomal RNA
Rfam family: Bacterial small subunit ribosomal RNA
Source: RNAcentral
CCUACGGGAGGCAGCAGUGGGGAAUAUUGCACAAUGGGGGAAACCCUGAUGCAGCGACGCCGCGUGAGUGAAGAAGUAAUUCGUUAUGUAAAGCUCUAUCAGCAGGGAAGAAAAUGACGGUACCUGAGUAAUAAGCCCCGGCUAACUACGUGCCAGCAGCCGCGGUAAUACGUAGGGGGCAAGCGUUAGCCGGAUUUACUGGGGGUAAAGGGAGCGUAGACGGCAGUGCAAGUCUGGAAUGAAAGGCGGGGGGUCAACCCCCGGACUGCUCUGGAUACUGGACGGCUGGAGUGCGAGAGAGGUAAGUGGAAUUCCUAGUGUAGCGGUGAAAUGCGUAGAUAUUAGGAGGAACACCAGUGGCGAAGGCGGCUUACUGGACUGUAACUGACGUUGAGGCACGAAAGCGUGGGGAGCAAACAGGAUUAGAUACCCCAGUAGUC